CAGAACGAACGCUGGCGGCAUGCCUAACACAUGCAAGUCGAACGAGACCUUCGGGUCUAGUGGCGCACGGGUGCGUAACGCGUGGGAACCUGCCUUUAGGUUCGGAAUAACUCAGAGAAAUUUGAGCUAAUACCGGAUAAUGUCUUCGGACCAAAGAUUUAUCGCCUUUAGAUGGGCCCGCGUUGGAUUAGCUAGUUGGUGGGGUAAAGGCCUACCAAGGCGACGAUCCAUAGCUGGUCUGAGAGGAUGAUCAGCCACACUGGGACUGAGACACGGCCCAGACUCCUACGGGAGGCAGCAGUGGGGAAUAUUGGACAAUGGGCGAAAGCCUGAUCCAGCAAUGCCGCGUGAGUGAUGAAGGCCUUAGGGUUGUAAAGCUCUUUUACCCGAGAUGAUAAUGACAGUAUCGGGAGAAUAAGCUCCGGCUAACUCCGUG
This 436-nucleotide ribosomal RNA is filed under the name uncultured bacterium. RNAcentral's name for it is "bacterial SSU rRNA". It matches the Rfam family "Bacterial small subunit ribosomal RNA", at positions 25 to 507 of the family's 1533-position model. The record is from RNAcentral.